GCGUGCCUAAUACAUGCAAGUCGAGCGGACCGGAUCGGAGCUUGCUCUGGUUUGGUCAGCGGCGGACGGGUGAGUAACACGUGGGCAACCUGCCCGCAAGACCGGGAUAACUCCGGGAAACCGGAGCUAAUACCGGAUAACACCGAAGACCGCAUGGUCUUUGGUUGAAAGGCGGCCUUUGGCUGUCACUUGCGGAUGGGCCCGCGGCGCAUUAGCUAGUUGGUGAGGUAACGGCUCACCAAGGCGACGAUGCGUAGCCGGCCUGAGAGGGUGACCGGCCACACUGGGACUGAGACACGGCCCAGACUCCUACGGGAGGCAGCAGUAGGGAAUCUUCCGCAAUGGGCGAAAGCCUGACGGAGCGACGCCGCGUGAGCGAAGAAGGCCUUCGGGUCGUAAAGCUCUGUUGUGAGGGACGAAGGAGCGCCGUUCGAAGAGGGCGGCGCGGUGACGGUACCUCACGAGGAAGCCCCGGCUAACUACGUGCCAGCAGCCGCGGUAAUACGUAGGGGCGAGCGUUGUCCGGAAUUAUUGGGCGUAAAGCGCGCGCAGGCGGUCUCUUAAGUCUGAUGUGAAAGCCCACGGCUCAACCGUGGAGGGUCAUUGGAAACUGGGGGACUUGAGUGCAAGAGAGGAGAGCGGAAUUCCACGUGUAGCGGAGAAAUGCGUAGAGAUGUGGAGGAACACCAG
Molecule: ribosomal RNA, 690 nt
Filed under: uncultured organism
Description: SSU rRNA
Rfam family: Bacterial small subunit ribosomal RNA
Source: RNAcentral